Molecule: microRNA precursor, 63 nt
Filed under: Drosophila mojavensis
Lineage: Eukaryota; Metazoa; Arthropoda; Insecta; Diptera; Drosophilidae
Description: Dmo-Mir-9540_pre stem-loop
Source: RNAcentral
AUUCGUACGUUACACUGAACAGAUUUGUGUACGAAUGCUCUGUUCAGUGCGAUGUGUGAAUCA